GGGCGCGCCAGCAAUGGCCGCCGGCGAGGUGCUGCAUGGUUGUCGUCAGCUCGUGCCGUGAGGUGUCCGGGUUAAGUCCCCAUAACGAGCGCAACCCCUACUGCUAGUUGCCAGCGCGUAAAGGCGGGGACUCUAGCGGAACUGCCGGCGUAAGCCGUGAGGAAGGUGGGGAUGACGUCAAAUCAGCACGGCCCUUACGUCCAGGGCUACACACGUGUUACAAUGGCCGGUACAGAGGGCAGCCACCCGCGAGGGGGCGCGAAUCCUUAAAGCCGGUCCCAGUUCGGAUCGGGGUCUGCAACCCGACCCCGUGAAGCUGGAUUCGCUAGUAAUCGCGCAUCAGCCACGGCGCGGUGAAUACGUUCCCGGGCCUU
Molecule: ribosomal RNA, 374 nt
Filed under: uncultured Rikenellaceae bacterium
Lineage: Bacteria; Pseudomonadati; Bacteroidota; Bacteroidia; Bacteroidales; Rikenellaceae
Description: bacterial SSU rRNA
Rfam family: Bacterial small subunit ribosomal RNA
Source: RNAcentral